Mustela erminea (ermine) is the source of this 1922-nucleotide long non-coding RNA. RefSeq lists it as uncharacterized. Lineage: Eukaryota; Metazoa; Chordata; Mammalia; Carnivora; Mustelidae. The transcript has 3 exons. The record is from RefSeq and is a predicted model, not a curated record.
CGCCGUCGCCAUGGCAACCGGCACGCCUGUGCCCGCCGCACCGUCCCCUGCCCGCUGCGCCCCAGCCCGCCUCCCCGAUGGACCUCUCUCCGCAGGGGCCGAGCGCCCCUCCAAAGUGAACCCAGUGCCUGAUCCAACCCUGCACAGCCGGGCAGUGGCAAAAAGUGGAAGAACACUGUUCUAGACUUCUUGGGCAUUAGCCCUGCUGCUCCUACCCCAGCCUGCCUUCAAGGUUCUUGGCCCUCUGGGAGCAUCUGAGAAACUAUGGGUAUAGUUGUUCAGAGCACAGAAGGGAUCCCUGUCCGUCUUGAGGAGGCCCACCCCCACCUUGACAUUCAGGAGUUCUGACUUGGCCCAUUCUGGCCAAGCUCUUGGCCUGUCCCUUCCUCCGGGGUGUGUGGGGGGGAGCUGUGCCCCAUGCUGACCUGCCUCUAUCAGCUGUGGCCUAGGGAGUCUUUUCACAGAAAACCCCACUAUCCUGGAAACUGAUUUCCAUCUGAAAAGCUGGGAACCAGGAGGUGGCUUCUGGGCAGUGAGAUUCCGAGGAGCUUUGGUGCUGAAGCAUUGAUGUGAACCCCUGCUUGGAGAAGGGCUAGAGAAAGCAGGGGAGGACUUAGAGGGGGGGAUCUUCUCACAAUCAAACUUUCUGGAGGGCAGUGACGGAGGUCAAACGGGACCCUACCAUGACUGAAGGACUUCCUUUCUCCUUGGAGGUUUAAGACGCUGGUCACAGGCCUUUGCUGGGUAUGGCUGGAAGGUACAUGAACUCUGUCUCUUCUCAGCUGGGUCAGAGGUGCAUUUUGAGAUGCCCGAGAGUUGGCAGGAGCCUGAGAGAGGGUUGGCAUGAAGCCACAGAGCGCCCUGUGGGGAAGCUCCCCGCAGGUGGGAAAGCCAAGCAUCUCCCACAGGAGACCCAGUCUCUCUCUUCCGGGCUGGAAAUGGAAAUGCACUUGGGCCUGUGGAGCGAGGAAGGCCACUGGCAUAGCCCUCAUUUUGGAAAGGCUCAGAUUCACGGGGAAGGGGAAGGGGGUUCUGCCUGGUGGCAAUAUGGGGGUCCCUGGGAAGCAAACCCCAGCACACAGCUGGCGUUUUUAGCAUCUACUUAGUGGUAGUGGGGGGAGUUCAGGGAGGGGGGGCCUGUUUCCUGGAGGGUGAGGUCCGGAGGUGCAGAGAGGCUGGGUUGGAGGUGGGGCCCCUCCCUCUCUCCUGCCAGCCCCUGAGGAGCCCUUCCUUUAGAAUGCUUUCAAAUGCUUAUUAGUGAGCUCUCCCCAAGGAAGGAGGCCGGAGUUGUUAUCUGCAUUUGUAAAUGACAAGGGAGGACUCAAAGGACUGACUCACUUCCAGGGCAGGCACAGUUAGGGCAACACAGCCCUAGAGGAGAGGCCAAAAUGAGGGCUCAGCGGAAGAGCUCCCAAACGCCAGGGCCCUGCAGGGGCCCCAGAAAGAACCCAGAGCAGGAGCCAGGAAACCUGCCCCUUUGUCUGGGCUCUGCCACCUGCUCGCUGCCCAUUCUUGGGCAGGUCACUCCACACGCCCUUUGGAACACUCUUUCUGGAACAGUUGACCUUGUCCUCUGGAGAGCCGAGGCCCUGGUUCUUUCCUUCCCCUCAAGUUUUGGAUCCUUUAACAGGAACACAGAGCUGGUCAUCUGCUUGGUCCUGGGAAGAUUCACGCCCUUUCAGGGAAAUCUGUUAUUAGGAAAUCCUACCCAAGCCUAGAGAUGAGGCUCUGGUUAACAGGCCGGCCCCUGAGAAUGUUCCACUGUGGUUUUGUUAAUUACUGUUCAUCGAGGGCAUAGGCCCUGAGAAGGAACAAGUGAACUUGUGGAUUUGUGCUACAUAAACUCCAGUUCCUCAAAAGCUCUGGGAACCAGAUUUACCGUCCCACUGAUUCCUCCAUCGAUCAAUAAAAUUGAAUAAAAU